AGAUGUGAGGGUGAUCUGGCUGCAACAUGUCUCUCUGCUGAUUACCAGGGUUGAUUUGGCUGAUCUGGCUUGCUAGGCAACUGUCUCCUUUCUCCUUCGAUGCUCCACAUGUGUCCCUCCCAAGCUGAACACUCAGACAAAGAGGACCACUUUCCCCAAUAGAGGAGGACCAAUCUUUGGUCAAGGGUAUACGUGUAGCUAUGUUCCCCGGCUAGAACCUCCAAACAAGCUCUCAAGGGAGAUUAUAACAUUUUGUAUAAGGACCUUGAGCAUUUGCAGAUUUUGGUAUCUGCAGGAGCUCCGGAAAACAGAUGUGCAAGAUAUUGAGGGGUACCCU
This 337-nucleotide small nuclear RNA is filed under the name Nannospalax galili (Upper Galilee mountains blind mole rat). Its description in RNAcentral is "7SK RNA (ENSNGAG00000007868.1)". The stretch from base 1 to 300 matches the Rfam family "7SK RNA". Rfam says of the family: 7SK was discovered as an abundant small nuclear RNA in the mid-70s but a possible function has only recently been suggested. Two independent studies have found that 7SK RNA binds the CDK9/cyclin T complex (known as elongation factor P-TEFb). Lineage: Eukaryota; Metazoa; Chordata; Mammalia; Rodentia; Spalacidae. The record is from Rfam by way of RNAcentral.